Non-coding RNA from Mariniphaga anaerophila, 74 nucleotides. The record is from Rfam. Lineage: Bacteria; Pseudomonadati; Bacteroidota; Bacteroidia; Marinilabiliales; Prolixibacteraceae.
GGGCCUAUAGCUCAGUUGGUUAGAGCACCUGACUCAUAAUCAGGGGGUCCCUGGUUCAAGCCCAGGUGGGCCCA